RNAcentral lists this ribosomal RNA (1927 nucleotides) under marine metagenome. RNAcentral's name for it is "bacterial LSU rRNA". It matches the Rfam family "Bacterial large subunit ribosomal RNA", at positions 929 to 2925 of the family's 2925-position model. The record is from RNAcentral.
GAAAGCGGUACCAAUCUUUUGCAAACUAAGAAUACCGGAAAUGAUUUCAAUCUACCAGUGAGACUGCGGGGGAUAAGCUCCGUAGUCAAGAGGGAAACAGCCCAGACCACCAGCUAAGGCUCCUAAAUAAAAGCUAAGUGGCAAAGGAGGUGAAAAUGCAGUGACAAUCAGGAGGUUUGCCUAGAAGCAGCCACCCUCUAAGGAGUGCGUAAUAGCUCACUGAUCAAGCGUUUUUGCGCCGAAAAUGACCGGAACUAAGUUUUUUGCCGAAGCUGUGGCUACAUCACACAGAUGAUGUAGGGUAGAGGAGCGUUCCGUCCAGGGGGAAGCCAAGCGCGUAAGCCGCGGUCGACAGGACGGAAGUGAGAAUGUCAGAUUGAGUAACGUAAACAUUGGUGAGAAUCCAAUGCCCCGAAAACUCAAGGGUUCCUGCGCAAGGCUCGUCCGCGCAGGGUCAGUCAGGACCUAAGGUGAGGCCGAAAGGCGUAAUUGAUGGCAAGAAGGUUUAUAUUCCUUCACUAAUCUAGGCUUAGUCCUGAGGGACGAACAAAUAACACUCGGCACAACGGCCACACUUGGCAGUAUGGAUAAACCCGUUGCUGUUUGAUGCUAUUUAUUCCAAGAAAAGCUCAUUCGACUUUGAGUCUAGAUUACCUGUACCGUAAACCGACACAGGUGAGUGGGUUGAAUAAACUAAGGGGAGCGAGAUAACUCUCUCUAAGGAACUCGGCAAAUUGGCUCUGUACCUUCGGAAGAAAGAGUGCCCCUCAGGGGGCCGCAGUGAAGAGAUCCAGGCGACUGUUUACCAAAAACACAGGUCUCCGCAAAGUCGUAAGACGAUGUAUGGGGGCUGACACCUGCCCAGUGCCAGAAGGUUAAAGAAGUUGGUCAAUCUUUGAUGAAGCUAACAACUGAAGCCCUGGUGAACGGCGGCAGUAACUAUAACUGUCCUAAGGUAGCGAAAUUCCUUGUCGGGUAAGUUCCGACCCGCACGAAAGGUGUAACGAUCUGCGUACUGUCUCGGAGAGAGACUCGGCGAAAUAGACUUGUCUGUGAAGAUGCGGACUACCUGCACCUGGACAAAAAGACCCUAUGAAGCUUUACUGUAGCUUGAUAUUGGCUCCGGGCUUUGUUUGCGCAGGAUAGGUGGGAGGCGUUGAAAGUUUUCUUGCGGGAAGAUUUGAGCCGUUGGUGAGAUACCACUCUAACAAUGCUAGGAUUCUAACCCUAUGUCGUUAUCCGGCUAGGGGACAGUUUCAGGUGGUCAGUUUGACUGGGGCGGUCGCCUCCUAAAAGGUAACGGAGGCGUGCAAAGGUUCCCUCAGGCUGGUUGGAAAUCAGUCGUAGAGUGUAAAGGCAUAAGGGAGCUUGAUUGUGAGACAUACAAGUCGAACAAAGACGAAAGUCGGCCUUAGUGAUCCGGCGGUACCGAGUGGAAGGGCCGUCGCUCAACGGAUAAAAGUUACUCUAGGGAUAACAGGCUGAUCUCCCCCAAGAGUUCAUAUCGACGGGGAGGUUUGGCACCUCGAUGUCGGCUCGUCGCAUCCUGGGGCGGUAGUACGUCCCAAGGGUUGGGCUGUUCGCCCAUGAAAGCGGCACGCGAGCUGGGUUCAGAACGUCGUGAGACAGUUCGGUCCAUAUCCGGUGUAGGCGUUAGAGUAUUGCGAGGAUCUCUUCUUAGUACGAGAGGACCGGAAGAGACGUACCUCUGGUGUGCCAGUUAUCGUGCCAACGGUAGACGCUGGGUAGCCAUGUACGGUUAGGAUAACCGCUGAAAGCAUCUAAGUGGGAAGCCAGCCUCAAGAUGAGUACUCUUACCAUAGUAAAUGGUUAAGGUCACGGCAAGACUAGCCGUUUGAUAGGUACCAAGUGUAUGUACAGUAAUGUAUUUAGCUGAGGUAUCCUAAUAGACCGAAUGCUUGACUUA